Molecule: long non-coding RNA, 270 nt
Organism: Vespula pensylvanica (western yellowjacket)
Lineage: Eukaryota; Metazoa; Arthropoda; Insecta; Hymenoptera; Vespidae
Exons: 2
Source: RefSeq, a predicted model, not a curated record
UAAAAAAUGAAAUGCGUGCAUCAGAAGUAGUCGAAAGAAAGAACGUUUGGCGGUUUCUUCCUUUUCUAAAUGUGCUCUCGAUCCACAAAUUACGGCAUGCGAUAAUGCUACCUCUUCUGGCUUAGACAAAUAAUCAACUAUCCGCAAAUCUAGUGGCGCCAUCGGCAUCUGCAAACAACAACGCGCUACCUCUUGAGCUCAGCAUACCCUUCAAAUAAAAUUAUAUUUUUGCGAUACAAGUAAUACAAGCUUAUUCUGUGCUCGCUAAAA